UGGUGUAGUCAGUACAUGAAGAGGUCAGUACAAGGUGUAGUCAGUACACGGUGUAGUCAGUACACGGUGUAGUCAGUACACGAUGAGGUCAGUACACGGUGUAGUCAGUACACGAUGAGGUCAGUACACGGUGUGGUCAGUACAUGAUGAGGUCAGUACACGGUGUAGUCAGUACACGGUGUAGUCAGUACAUGAUGAGGUCAGUACACGGUGUAGUCAGUACAUGAUGAGGUCAGUACACUGUGUAGUCAGUAUACGGUGUAGUCAGUACACGGUGUAGUCAGUACAUGAUGAGGUCAGUACACGGUGGUAUCAGUACAUAAUGAGGUCAAUACAUGGUGUAGUCAGUACAUGAUGAGGUCAGUACACGGUGUAGUCAGUACAUGAUGAGGUCAGUACACGGUGUAGUCAGUACACGAUGAGGUCAGUACACGGUGUAGUCAGUACAUGAUGAGGUCAGUACACGGUGUAGUCAGUACAUGAUGAGGUCAGUACACGGUGUAGUCAGUACAUGAUGAGGUCAGUACAUGAUGAGGUCAGUACACGGUGUAGUCAGUACACGGUGUAGUCAGUACAUGAUGAGGUCAGUACACGGUGUAGUCAGUACAUGAUGAGGUCAGUACACUGUGUAGUCAGUAUACGGUGUAGUCAGUACACGGUGUAGUCAGUACAUGAUGAGGUCAGUACACGGUGGUAUCAGUACAUAAUGAGGUCAAUACAUGGUGUAGUCAGUACAUGAUGAGGUCAGUACACGGUGUAGUCAGUACAUGAUGAGGUCAGUACACGGUGUAGUCAGUACACGAUGAGGUCAGUACACGGUGUAGUCAGUACAUGAUGAGGUCAGUACACGGUGUAGUCAGUACAUGAUGAGGUCAGUACACGGUGUAGUCAGUACACGGUGUAGUCAGUACAUGAUGAGGUCAGUACACGGUGUAGUCAGUACAUGAUGAGGUCAGUACACGGUGUAGUCAGUACACGAUGAGGUCAGUACACGGUGUAGUCAGUACAUGGUGUAGUCAGUACAUGAUGAGGUCAGUACAUGGUGUAGUCAGUACACGGUGUAGUCAGUACAUGAUGAGGUCAGUACACGGUGUAGUCAGUACACGAUGAGGUCAGUACACGGUGUAGUCAGUACAUGAUGAGGUCAGUACACGGUGUAGUCAGUACAUGAUGAGGUCAGUACACGGUGUAGUCAGUACAUGAUGAG
Long non-coding RNA from Austrofundulus limnaeus, 1207 nucleotides. RefSeq lists it as uncharacterized. The record is from RefSeq and is a predicted model, not a curated record. NCBI's taxonomy places the organism in Eukaryota, Metazoa, Chordata, Actinopteri, Cyprinodontiformes, Rivulidae. The transcript is spliced from 3 exons.